UGGCACCGUGUAACAACGACUUAUAGAACUAAGUAUUAAUUUUUCCGGACUGGCACAUGGUUGAUGAGCUGCAAAUAUUCUCACCCUAGAGGGCCGUCCUAUUUUAUAGGGAAGGUGGACUACCCCUAAGCUCAAUGAUUAAAAUCUAUAAUUCUAUUGUUUAGGUAAAAUGGGGUACCACUAGCGCCCUUAUAAGCCACCACGUCGGGG
Molecule: long non-coding RNA, 210 nt
Filed under: Elaeis guineensis (African oil palm)
Lineage: Eukaryota; Viridiplantae; Streptophyta; Magnoliopsida; Arecales; Arecaceae
Description: long non-coding RNA (EGUI_LNC005212)
Source: RNAcentral